RNAcentral lists this ribosomal RNA (497 nucleotides) under uncultured bacterium. RNAcentral's name for it is "partial 16S ribosomal RNA". It matches the Rfam family "Bacterial small subunit ribosomal RNA", at positions 28 to 507 of the family's 1533-position model. The record is from RNAcentral.
GAUGAGCGCUGGCGGCGUGCCUAAUACAUGCAAGUCGAGCGAACAGAUAGGGAGCUUGCUCCUCUGACGUUAGCGGCGGACGGGUGAGUAACACGUGGGUAACCUACCUAUAAGACUGGAAUAACUCCGGGAAACCGGAGCUAAUGCCGGAUAACAUUUAGAACCGCAUGGUUCUAAAGUGAAAGAUGGUUUUGCUAUCACUUAUAGAUGGAUCCGCGCCGCAUUAGCUAGUUGGUAAGGUAACGGCUUACCAAGGCAACGAUACGUAGCCGACCUGAGAGGGUGAUCGGCCACACUGGAACUGAGACACGGUCCAGACUCCUACGGGAGGCAGCAGUAGGGAAUCUUCCGCAAUGGGCGAAAGCCUGACGGAGCAACGCCGCGUGAGUGAUGAAGGUCUUCGGAUCGUAAAACUCUGUUAUUAGGGAAGAACAAAUGUGUAAGUAACUGUGCACGUCUUGACGGUACCUAAUCAGAAAGCCACGGCUAACUACGUG